GAUAUGCCGGUCUCUGUCGCCCUGUCGCGGAUCGCCACGGCUGCCAACACCCGGCGCCGCCUCCUUCGCUGCUGAUCAACGCCGCCACCAAGCCAGGCACUGCCUUCGCCUCGCCGUCGUCCCCCUGUGUCAACUUCCGCCUCCACCGCGCGCAAAACCAAUCGCCAUCGCGCCCCCGCUCCCGUUACGCUUGGCCUCCCUUGCUGGCGGCCCUGCCCAGUGCGGCCUUCCUCACCACGCGCUGCCUCCUGUGUCGCCAGCAUCACGCCCAGCGUCGCCUCCCCCUCCGGCGCGCCUGCAGCCUCCACCGUACAAUGGAGUCGCCGCCGCUGCCACCCCCUUCCCUGGACGUGCUUCCUGUUUGCAACAAUCAAGGUGGAUUAAAGCGGCCGUGAGGUCAAGGAGAGGGAAGGUCCAGGUAUCGGAGAGGAGGAAGAAGGUGGUGAAAGCUGUUCUGUUGCUGCUGAUCCUUUCCAAGCUAGACACGCCCAUGUUUUGUUGCUGCCGAUCGUGUAUCAUAGUGCCCACAAUAUGUUUGAGCCAGCUCAGUAUUCAGAGGUAGAGGAAUAGCCUGCAAGUGCACGCAUUCGUGAUGCUUGCGCGGCGAGCCUUCUUCCUGGCCACCACCGGCACCACCAACGCCACCGGGAAGUAUUCAUCCGCCAAUCCAGUUGCGGCGGCGCCCUCCUCCGAGACACUCUCAGCGAGCCCCCUCACCUAAUCAACCCCAUCCUGUUGUGUCACGUCUUCCUUCAAUUCGGCGGACAUCGACUCGCCGGCUCGGCUCUAGACUCACUGGCGAGUGGACCGGCGAGGGAAGAUUAUGGCAUGGAGAUUAGUCCUAUAUGCAAAAGGAAAACGGAGAACGCCUCCAACACGAUAGCCAUGGGUGCCCGACCCGGAUUUCACAUAUUCUUCGGUGUCAUAAAAAGGAAGCCUCGACCGGAUCACAUCGCAAGUUCUAAAGACAAACGGUCCAAUGUCGCCUCCUCCAACUUCGCGGGAAGACCAUCCACCGUUGUCUCUGUGGACUUCGCUGCAAGACCAUCCGCCGUUGCCUCCGCCGACUUUGCCGGAAGACCAUCAGUUGUCAUCUCCGCCUACUUCGCCGCAGGUAUCUUUUUUUUUUUUGCAAAUUAUGAUGCAACUAUUUUUGAUUUACAACCAGAGCUUACUGAUGGUUAUAGGAUGAAAAAACGCGCAUAUAAGUUGCAAGAUUUUGAAUAGCAAUUUCUAUGUAUAUGUUCUCCUGCACUUGUGCUGAUAAACUCACUCACUCACUCACAUGGACUGUGGUUAAUUAGAUGAGACAGUCACAUGUGAGGAUGAAAGCUUGGAUCAGCUUCUGUAGUCGCUAUCUUUCAUUUACAACCGAGUUUUCUUAUGGUUAUAGGAUAGAAACUUUGUAUUAUUUUGCCAUCUUCUUUCCUUCGUGAAACUAGCUGCAGCAAGUAGCAAUUUAAACUGAUGCGAGAAAGUAUCUAUCUUUAAUGUCCAACUGAAGAUUUUUCAGUUGAAAACAUCAACCAAGAUACAACAAAUCCUCAUGGUCAGCAAUCUUACCGUUAUAAAGUUUCAGUCAUCCUUUUAGAUAAUUAGGCCUGAGCUCGUUAACUUCCCAUCUUAAGAAACUGUUGUCAAGGUAGUAGUGGAUGCUGCAAUUGAUAAUUACUUGUGCUCUGAGAUGGUGGCUCCUAAAAAUGAUUCAGCACAUCCUUGUGAUUUUGAAGACAAAAAAGAAAGAGAUUUCUCUUACUUGCUGGAUAUACUAUUACUAAUUGCUUCUGCAUUGAGUAUCAGCUGUAUAAGGUGCGCCAGUCCCUUUGACUAUUUUGCAUGCAAUGAUAUGUUUGGCAUGCUUGAAAAAAUACAAGAAACUUACUAAGUGGUCAAGGGCACAAAGUAAAACUUACUGUAACUUAGCUACCAAUGUGACAUACUACUGGUCAGGUUUUACCACUCACCAUUAAUAUGCUGAUGGAGUUCUCCAAUUCUGAAAACAAAUUCACCAUGCAUUGAAUGGAUCAUUCAAUUGUGCAAUGCAAAUGGUGUGUCCUCUGUUAGUCAGAGGAUCUGAGAAUCGGGAUAGAUCAGGAUGGGUUUCAUAUGUGAAAUUUUGCUUAAUGGACGCUCCAAGUUUCCUCUAAUCAGCAGACCUAUGGGAUACGGGCCUCUGUUUGCCCCUGGUACUCCUGAUGCAGGAGCUACACUUCCAGUUUGACUGCCUGAGGGAAGGGUCUCGCUUCAGUUGCUUUGGGUCAUUAUAUGUUUUUAUUGUUGAAGGGUGGUACGUGUGCUUAACCGUGUCCAGAACUGAACUUUAGUAGUAGGGACAGCAAAAUUAUCUGAAAAAUACUGUAUAAAUGGUCAUAGAAUGCCAAACAGUUAAGAAAAACUGUAAAGAAAUGCGAACCGAAAGGAAGGGGAAAAUUGUUUUCUAAUGUUAGAAGUCCGAUUGAACUCAGUAGUGGUUAUCUUAUCUCUGUUGGCUCUAUGAUAACCUUCUUAUAUAUGCAAGUUACUCUGAAGCAGCAAGAUAAACAAGGUGAUGUAUCAUGAAAAUAGGGUCUACGUAGCAUAAUCUAAUUUGUGUAUCUUUUCUCCUACAUUCAUUUCUUUACUUUGGUCCAUAAGUUUCCAGAGAUCUA
Long non-coding RNA from Triticum aestivum (bread wheat), 2648 nucleotides. RefSeq lists it as uncharacterized. The transcript has 3 exons. The record is from RefSeq and is a predicted model, not a curated record. NCBI's taxonomy places the organism in Eukaryota, Viridiplantae, Streptophyta, Magnoliopsida, Poales, Poaceae.